This 405-nucleotide ribosomal RNA is filed under the name uncultured bacterium. RNAcentral describes it as "bacterial SSU rRNA". It matches the Rfam family "Bacterial small subunit ribosomal RNA", at positions 355 to 776 of the family's 1533-position model. The record is from RNAcentral.
UUGGGAAUCUUGCGCAAUGGACGAAAGUCUGACGCAGCAACGCCGCGUGCGGGAUGAAGGCCCUCGGGUUGUAAACCGCUUUCAGCAGGAACGAAAUUGACGGUACCUGCAGAAGAAGCCCCGGCCAACUACGUGCCAGCAGCCGCGGUAAUACGUAGGGGGCGAGCGUUGUCCGGAUUUAUUGGGCGUAAAGAGCUCGUAGGCGGUUUAGCAAGUCAACUGUGAAAACUUCAGGCUCAACCUGAAGCGGUCAGUUGAUACUGCUAUGACUUGAGUCUGUCAGGGGAUCACGGAAUUCCUAGUGUAGCGGUGAAAUGCGCAGAUAUUAGGAGGAACACCGGUGGCGAAGGCGGUGAUCUGGGACAGUACUGACGCUGAGGAGCGAAAGCGUGGGGAGCGAACAGG